This 254-nucleotide ribosomal RNA is filed under the name uncultured bacterium. RNAcentral's name for it is "partial 16S ribosomal RNA". It matches the Rfam family "Bacterial small subunit ribosomal RNA", at positions 524 to 776 of the family's 1533-position model. The record is from RNAcentral.
UACGGGGGGAGCAAGCGUUGUUCGGAUUUACUGGGCGUAAAGGGCGCGUAGGCGGCCACUGCAAGUCGGUUGUGAAAUCUCCGGGCUUAACCCGGAAAGGUCAACCGAUACUGCAGGGCUAGAGUGCAGAAGGGGCAACUGGAAUUCUCGGUGUAGCGGUGAAAUGCGUAGAUAUCGAGAGGAACACCUGCGGCGAAGGCGGGUUGCUGGGCUGACACUGACGCUGAUGCGCGAAGGCUAGGGGAGCAAACGGG